UCGUGGAGUGAUUUGUCUGCUUAAUUGCGGUAACGAACGAGACCUUAACCUACUAAAUAGCCAGGCUAGCUUUGGCUGGUCGCCGGCUUCUUAGAGGGACUUUCGGCUCAAGCCGAAGGAAGUUUGAGGCAAUAACA
This 137-nucleotide ribosomal RNA is filed under the name uncultured eukaryote. RNAcentral's name for it is "partial 18S ribosomal RNA". It matches the Rfam family "Eukaryotic small subunit ribosomal RNA", at positions 1299 to 1458 of the family's 1831-position model. The record is from RNAcentral.